This 58-nucleotide transfer RNA is filed under the name Megaselia scalaris. It matches the Rfam family "tRNA", at positions 8 to 63 of the family's 71-position model. From Rfam's summary of the family: Transfer RNA (tRNA) molecules are approximately 80 nucleotides in length. Their secondary structure includes four short double-helical elements and three loops (D, anti-codon, and T loops). The record is from Rfam by way of RNAcentral. Lineage: Eukaryota; Metazoa; Arthropoda; Insecta; Diptera; Phoridae.
UAGCUCAGUCGGUAGAUCAUGAGACUCUUAAUCUCAGGGUCGAGGGUUCGAGCCCCAC